Molecule: non-coding RNA, 45 nt
Filed under: Schistosoma mattheei
Lineage: Eukaryota; Metazoa; Platyhelminthes; Trematoda; Strigeidida; Schistosomatidae
Source: RNAcentral
AUCCAGUUGACCAGUCAAAAAUAGGAUGAAACGCGCGUCCUGGAU